GGAGGAUGCAAGCGUUAUCCGGAAUCAUUGGGCGUAAAGCGUCCGCAGGUGGUGGUUCAAGUCUGCUGUUAAAGACAGAAGCUCAACUUCUGAGAGGCAGUGGAAACUGGGCAACUAGAGUACGGUAGGGGUUGAGGGAAUUCCCAGUGUAGCGGUGAAAUGCGUAGAUAUUGGGAAGAACACCAGUGGCGAAGGCGCUCUACUGGACCGUAACUGACACUCAGGGACGAAAGCUAGGGUAGCGAAAGGGAUUAGAUACUCCUGUAGUCCUAGCCGUAAACGAUGGAUACUAGGCGUUGCUUGUAUCGACCCGAGCAGUGCCGUAGCCAACGCGUUAAGUAUCCCGCCUGGGGAGUACGCACGCAAGUGUG
This 371-nucleotide ribosomal RNA is filed under the name uncultured bacterium. RNAcentral describes it as "bacterial SSU rRNA". It matches the Rfam family "Bacterial small subunit ribosomal RNA", at positions 527 to 896 of the family's 1533-position model. The record is from RNAcentral.